RNAcentral lists this ribosomal RNA (429 nucleotides) under Bacteroidota bacterium. RNAcentral's name for it is "Bacteroidetes bacterium partial 16S ribosomal RNA". It matches the Rfam family "Bacterial small subunit ribosomal RNA", at positions 355 to 776 of the family's 1533-position model. Lineage: Bacteria; Pseudomonadati; Bacteroidota. The record is from RNAcentral. RNAcentral also lists the same sequence under 1 other name.
UAGGGAAUCUUCGGCAAUGGGGGGAACCCUGACCGAGCAACGCCGCGUGAGUGAAGAAGGUUUUCGGAUCGUAAAGCUCUGUUGUUAAGGAAGAACGAGUGUGAGAAUGGAAAGUUCAUGCUGUGACGGUACUUAACCAGAAAGGGACGGCUAACUACGUGCCAGCAGCCGCGGUAAUACGUAGGUCCCGAGCGUUGUCCGGAUUUAUUGGGCGUAAAGCGAGCGCAGGCGGUUAGAAAAGUCUGAAGUGAAAGGCAGUGGCUCAACCAUUGUAGGCUUUGGAAACUGUUUAACUUGAGUGCAGAAGGGGAGAGUGGAAUUCCAUGUGUAGCGGUGAAAUGCGUAGAUAUAAGGAGGAACACCGGUGGCGAAAGCGGCUCUCUGGUCUGUAACUGACGCUGAGGCUCGAAAGCGUGGGGAGCGAACAGG